Molecule: ribosomal RNA, 497 nt
Filed under: uncultured bacterium
Lineage: Bacteria
Description: partial 16S ribosomal RNA
Rfam family: Bacterial small subunit ribosomal RNA
Source: RNAcentral
GAUGAACGCUGGCGGCGUGCCUAAUACAUGCAAGUCGAGCGAACAGACGAGGAGCUUGCUCCUCUGACGUUAGCGGCGGACGGGUGAGUAACACGUGGAUAACCUACCUAUAAGACUGGGAUAACUUCGGGAAGCCGGAGCUAAUACCGGAUAAUAUAUUGAACCGCAUGGUUCAAUAGUGAAAGACGGUUUUGCUGUCACUUAUAGAUGGAUCCGCGCCGCAUUAGCUAGUUGGUAAGGUAACGGCUUACCAAGGCGACGAUGCGUAGCCGACCUGAGAGGGUGAUAGGCCACACUGGAACUGAGACACGGUCCAGACUCCUACGGGAGGCAGCAGUAGGGAAUCUUCCGCAAUGGGCGAAAGCCUGACGGAGCAACGCCGCGUGAGUGAUGAAGGUCUUCGGAUCGUAAAACUCUGUUAUUAGGGAAGAACAAAUGUGUAAGUAACUAUGCACGUCUUGACGGUACCUAAUCAGAAAGCCACGGCUAACUACGUG